GAUGAACGCUGGCGGCGUGCCUAAUACAUGCCAGUCGAGCGAACAGAUGAGGAGCUUGCUCCUCUGACGUUAGCGGCGGUCGGGUGAGUAACACGUGGAUAACCUACCUAUAAGACUGGGAUAACUUCGGGAAACCGGAGCUAAUACCGGAUAAUAUAUUGAACCGCAUGGUUCAAUAGUGAAAGACGGUUUUGCUGUCACUUAUAGAUGGAUCCGCGCCGCAUUAGCUAGUUGGUAAGGUAACGGCUUACCAAGACAACGAUGCGUAGCCGACCUGAGAGGGUGAUCGGCCACACUGGAACUGAGACACGGUCCAGACUCCUACGGGAGGCAGCAGUAGGGAAUCUUCCGCAAUGGGCGAAAGCCUGACGGAGCAACGCCGCGUGAGUGAUGAAGGUCUUCGGAUCGUAAAACUCUGUUAUUAGGGAAGAACAAAUGUGUAAGUAACUAUGCACGUCUUGACGGUACCUAAUCAGAAAGCCACGGCUAACUACGUG
Molecule: ribosomal RNA, 497 nt
Filed under: uncultured bacterium
Lineage: Bacteria
Description: partial 16S ribosomal RNA
Rfam family: Bacterial small subunit ribosomal RNA
Source: RNAcentral